UUGGAGGGCAAGUCUGGUGCCAGCAGCCGCGGUAAUUCCAGCUCCAAUAGCGUAUAUUAAAGUUGUUGCAGUUAAAAAGCUCGUAGUUGAAUUUCGGGGUCAGCAGGUUGGUCAUGCCUCUGGUAUGCACUGGUUUCGCUGAUUCCUCCUUUCUGAAGAACUGUAAUGUCAUUAAUUUGGUGUUGCAGGGAAACAGGACUGUUACUUUGAAAAAAUUAGAGUGUUUAAAGCAAGCUAACGCUUGAAUACAUUAGCAUGGAAUAAUGAAAUAGGACGUUUGAUCCUAUUUUGUUGGUUUCUAGGAUUGACGUAAUGAUUAAUAGGGAUAGUUGGGGGCAUUAGUAUUCAAUUGUCAGAGGUGAAAUUCUUGGAUUUAUUGAAGACUAACUACUGCGAAAGCAUUUGCCAAGGAUGUUUUCAUUAAUCAAGAACGAAAGUUAGGGGAUCGAAGACGAUCAGAUACCGUCGUAGUCUUAACCAUAAACUAUGCCGACUAGGGAUCGGAUGAUGUUAAUUUUUUAAUGACUCAUUCGGCGCCUUACGGGAAAC
Molecule: ribosomal RNA, 549 nt
Filed under: uncultured Glomeromycotina
Lineage: Eukaryota; Fungi; Glomeromycota
Description: SSU rRNA
Rfam family: Eukaryotic small subunit ribosomal RNA
Source: RNAcentral